AGGACGAACGCUGGCGGCGUGCUUAACACAUGCAAGUCGAACGGAAAGGCCCUUCGGGGUACUCGAGUGGCGAACGGGUGAGUAACACGUGAGCAACCUGCCCCUAACUCUGGGAUAGCUCCGGGAAACCGGAAUUAAUACCGGAUAUGACCUCGGGCGACAUCUCCUGAGGUGGAAAGUUUUUCGGUUAGGGAUGGGCUCGCGGCCUAUCAGCUUGUUGGUGGGUAAAGCCUACCAAGGCGACGACGGGUAG
Molecule: ribosomal RNA, 253 nt
Filed under: uncultured bacterium
Lineage: Bacteria
Description: partial small subunit ribosomal RNA
Rfam family: Bacterial small subunit ribosomal RNA
Source: RNAcentral